RNAcentral lists this transfer RNA (69 nucleotides) under Cnemaspis psychedelica. RNAcentral describes it as "tRNA-Ala". It matches the Rfam family "tRNA". From Rfam's summary of the family: Transfer RNA (tRNA) molecules are approximately 80 nucleotides in length. Their secondary structure includes four short double-helical elements and three loops (D, anti-codon, and T loops). Further hydrogen bonds mediate the characteristic L-shaped molecular structure. tRNAs have two regions of fundamental functional importance: the anti-codon, which is responsible for specific mRNA codon recognition, and the 3' end, to which the tRNAs corresponding amino acid is attached (by aminoacyl-tRNA synthetases). tRNAs cope with the degeneracy of the genetic code in two manners: having more than one tRNA (with a specific anti-codon) for a particular amino acid; and 'wobble' base-pairing, i.e. permitting non-standard base-pairing at the 3rd anti-codon position. The record is from RNAcentral. Lineage: Eukaryota; Metazoa; Chordata; Lepidosauria; Squamata; Gekkonidae.
AAGGCCUUAGCUUAAUUAAAGUGUUUGAGUUGCAAUUAGAUGAUGUAGGUUAGUAUUCUACAGGUCUUC